This 266-nucleotide long non-coding RNA is filed under the name Chinchilla lanigera (long-tailed chinchilla). RNAcentral's name for it is "lncRNA (ENSCLAG00000022245.1)". The record is from RNAcentral. Lineage: Eukaryota; Metazoa; Chordata; Mammalia; Rodentia; Chinchillidae.
UGACAAAGGACCACGACUUGCAGGCCCACGCAGCAUUUACUCUGCAGUUUCAGAUGCCCAAGCCCUGGAUCACUUCAAGCAGUACCCUGCCCUCCAAAUAUACCCUCCUCUGUGGCUCUGGGCACCGGCAAUCAAGACUUCCCUGCAAGGCUGGGCACCAUGGUACAUACUUGGAAUCCCAGCUACCUGAGAGGUUAAGGCAGAAAGAGGAUGUGACGCAUUCCUGUGCCUGGUGCAUCCAAGCUUCAUGGAGUACUCACCUGUGA